Molecule: ribosomal RNA, 382 nt
Filed under: uncultured eukaryote
Lineage: Eukaryota
Description: partial 18S ribosomal RNA
Rfam family: Eukaryotic small subunit ribosomal RNA
Source: RNAcentral
UGUAAGCGUAUACCAAAGUUGUUGCAGUUAAAACGCUCGUAGUCGGAAUUUGGCAGUUCCGGAUGUGUGCACGUCGUGUGCGAACUUCGCGGGGAUUGCUUUUGUGGUCUUGCGUAGGAUGAGGCACUUUUAUUAGUGAACGUCCUCACGCAACCACUUUUUACUGUGAGAAAAUCAGAGUGCUCAAAGCAGGCAUUUGCCGUGAAUGUAUUAGCAUGGAAUAAUAGAAUAGGACUUGGUUCUAUUUUGUUGGUUUGUUGGGACUGAGUAAUGAUUAAGAGGGACAGUUGGGGGCAUUUGUAUUUCGGUGCUAGAGGUGGAAUUCUUAGAUUACCGAAAGACAAACUGCUGCGAAAGCGUCUGCCAAGGAUGUUUUCAUUGA